RNAcentral lists this long non-coding RNA (634 nucleotides) under Carica papaya (papaya). Its description in RNAcentral is "long non-coding RNA (CPAP_LNC008546)". The record is from RNAcentral. Lineage: Eukaryota; Viridiplantae; Streptophyta; Magnoliopsida; Brassicales; Caricaceae.
UAGAAUGUUGAAUCACUAUAUUACAUAGAAUUCUCUCUUGGAAUGUGAGAGUCUAAGAGACCUACACGAAGCUAAUAAACAUGUAAUUACUUCUUGAAGACUCGAUUGAGUAUGCCUUUAAGAGUUUUAAGAACGCUUUUUGAACCAGUUGGCUUAUUGUGAUUUAGCAACAAUUCACCCUUGUUUUGGGCUAAAUUUUUAGCCUAAAAUUCUCGGGCUUGUUGCAGUUUAAAAGUUUAUCAGCAACCACAAUGAACUUUGAAUUUUUACUGUACCCUGAUUUGAAAAAGAUUGCUAGAUGGAAAAAGUGUAUGAUAGAAGAGGGUUGGAGACCAUGCCUUCAGGUCCUCCAUGGGUCUCUAGACUAAGCCUCAAAGUGGACUUGCACACAGAACACAAGAUCAAACAACCAACCUUCCCAUCCUUUCUCACUUCUCUUCUGUUUCAGCUCCAUGGAUGACUGGCAACUAAGCCUUCCUCUUCAAUAUUUGACUGGCAUGGGGAAACCAAACCUCUCUCCUUCCUUUAGACUGAGAUCAAACACCACCAGACAAACUUCCAAGAAAAUUCUUCACCAUCCACAUUCCUUUGUUCUUUCAAGAAUCAAUAGUCUCUUGGUGCGUCUUUCAUUUUU